Long non-coding RNA from Vombatus ursinus (common wombat), 461 nucleotides. RefSeq lists it as uncharacterized. The record is from RefSeq and is a predicted model, not a curated record. The transcript has 3 exons. NCBI's taxonomy places the organism in Eukaryota, Metazoa, Chordata, Mammalia, Diprotodontia, Vombatidae.
CAGUGUUGGAAGUGAGACCCUGCUCUGCACAUGAGGCAUAAGCCACACCACACCACAGCUGCUGCUGUUGGCUUCUGAACUUCCUUCUUUCUCAGUACACCACCCAGGGCCUCCCUAUUCUGGAGGGAGGCCACGUACAGGUUGGGAUCUCCUGACUGCACUAUGGGAGAUGCUUCAUCCAACCACAACAAUUUUUCCUGGAAGUAAAGAUGACUACCAAUAAGAUGAGGAACUCAGUCACUGGUCUGGCUUGCUAGAAGAAAUAAGCUUGAAGGAAAUAGUGCAGAGCUAAGUCGAAGGCACCUCACACCAAGGAAGAUAAAGGAUGGAGAACGGGGGGAAGCUGGGUAUGCUGAAUGGGUAUGAGGUCUUAGUGCCUACCCUGAUUUUGUCCUUCUCUAGUUGUCCCUGAUUCUUCCCCAGAAGUAUUUCAUCUUAAAUCUUGAGCUUCAUCUUGUGUU